Molecule: unclassified non-coding RNA, 249 nt
Filed under: plant metagenome
Description: partial contains small subunit ribosomal RNA and internal transcribed spacer 1
Rfam family: Eukaryotic small subunit ribosomal RNA (bases 1-46)
Source: RNAcentral
AAGUCGUAACAAGGUUUCCGUAGGUGAACCUGCGGAAGGAUCAUUAUCCAUCUCAAACCAGGUGCGGUCGCGGCCCCCCGGGGGAUUGCUCCCGGGUGGUAGGGGUAACACCCUCACGCGCCGCCUGCCUGUACCCUCUUUUUACGAGCACCUUUCGUUCUCCUUCGGCGGGGCAACCUGCCGCUGGAACCAAAACAAAACCUUUUUUGCAUCUAGCAUUACCUGUUCUGAUACAAAUAAUCGUUACAA